UGGGGAAUUUUACGCAAUGGGGGAAACCCUGACGUAGCGACACCGCGUGAGCGAAGAAGCCCUUUGGGGUGUAAAGCUCUGUCAACAGGAACGAAACAAAUGACGGUACCUGUGGAGGAAGCAUCGGCUAACUACGUGCCAGCAGCCGCGGUAAGACGUAGGAUGCAAGCGUUGUCCGGAUUUAUUGGGCGUAAAGAGUUCGUAGGCGGUUUGUUAAGUCUGAUGUUAAAGACCGGGGCUCAACCUCGGAAAUGCAUUGGAUACUGGCAGACUGGAGUGCAGUAGAGGCUAGUGGAAUUCCCAGUGUAGCGGUGAAAUGCGUAGAUAUUGGGAAGAACACCGGUGGCGUAGGCGACUAGCUGGGCUGUAACUGACGCUGAGGAACGAAAGCCAGGGGAGCAAAUGGGAUUAGAUACCCCAGUAGUCCUGGCCGUAAACGAUGGAUACUAGGCGUAGUGGGUAUCGACCCCUGCUGUGCCGCAGCUAACGCGAUAAGUAUCCCGCCUGAGUAGUACGGCCGCAAGGUUGAAACUUAAAGGAAUUGACGGGGUCAUAGCUGUUUCCU
This 565-nucleotide ribosomal RNA is filed under the name uncultured bacterium. RNAcentral's name for it is "partial 16S ribosomal RNA". It matches the Rfam family "Bacterial small subunit ribosomal RNA", at positions 355 to 1375 of the family's 1533-position model. The record is from RNAcentral.